UACGAAGGGGGCUAGCGUUGCUCGGAAUCACUGGGCGUAAAGGGCGCGUAGGCGGACUCUUAAGUCGGGGGUGAAAGCCCAGGGCUCAACCCUGGAAUUGCCUUCGAUACUGAGAGUCUUGAGUUCGGAAGAGGUUGGUGGAACUGCGAGUGUAGAGGUGAAAUUCGUAGAUAUUCGCAAGAACACCAGUGGCGAAGGCGGCGACCUGGUCCGAUACUGACGCUGAGGCGCGAAAGCGUGGGGAGCAAACAGG
RNAcentral lists this ribosomal RNA (253 nucleotides) under uncultured bacterium. Its description in RNAcentral is "partial 16S ribosomal RNA". It matches the Rfam family "Bacterial small subunit ribosomal RNA", at positions 524 to 776 of the family's 1533-position model. The record is from RNAcentral.